AUACUUACCUGGCAGGUGAGAUACUGUGAUUAUGAAGGUGGUUUACCCAGAGUGGGGCUUAUCCAUUGCACUCUGGAUGUUCUGACCCCUGUGACUUCCUCUAAUGUGGAAAACCCAAUGGCAUAAUUUGUGGUAGUGAGGAACUUCUUUUACACUCUCCCUCA
Callithrix jacchus (white-tufted-ear marmoset) is the source of this 164-nucleotide non-coding RNA. The record is from Rfam. Lineage: Eukaryota; Metazoa; Chordata; Mammalia; Primates; Cebidae.